Long non-coding RNA from Zea mays, 499 nucleotides. RefSeq lists it as uncharacterized. Lineage: Eukaryota; Viridiplantae; Streptophyta; Magnoliopsida; Poales; Poaceae. The record is from RefSeq and is a predicted model, not a curated record. The transcript is spliced from 3 exons.
UAAGUGGGUUUUUUUUCAAAAAGGUGACUUAGAAUUCCUGUUACCUUAUAUUCAUUAUUUUGCAAUAGGUAUUUGUGGGUGGGUUAGAUUCCAAUGUAGACGAGGAGUAUCUAAGGCAAAUUUUUACUCCGUAUGGAGAAAUUUCCUAUGUGAAGAUUCCUGUAGGCAAGGAUUGUGGAUUUGUUCAAUUUACCAGCAGGUCAUGUGCUGAGGAAGCCAUCCAAAUGUUGAAUGGGAGUCAGAUUGGUGGGCAGAAAACUCGGCUUUCAUGGGGCCGUAGUACUCAAAACAGACAGGCUUCUCAGCAUGAUGCCAACAGCCAGUAUAAUGGGAACAACUAUUAUCGAUACCAACAGCUGGGUAAUGAAGGUUAUAGCUAUGGUGCACCCAAUGCACAAGACCCAAGCAUUCAAAACUACUAUGGAUACCCUGGUUAUGGUAACUAUGAGCAGCAGUCAACACAGGAGCAGCAGCAGCAGCCUCCACCAGCACAGGAGCA